Hylaeus volcanicus is the source of this 622-nucleotide long non-coding RNA. RefSeq lists it as uncharacterized. The transcript has 3 exons. The record is from RefSeq and is a predicted model, not a curated record. Lineage: Eukaryota; Metazoa; Arthropoda; Insecta; Hymenoptera; Colletidae.
GAGAGUUUGCAGAGGCUUGAAAGAGGCGAUAAAAAUCAAUUGUCGCGUGAUCCGGGUGAACAAUAGGUACGCUCGUUCUUGUAUGGGUCCAUGGCUAUAAGGUUUUCCGGGCAUCUCGACGCUAAAAUAGCAAGAAAGCGACCCGUUCUCGAUUGAUAAUAAAUAGAGUCACAUUCAUGCUUGGCGAUGGUUGACUGGAAGAAGAGGAGUGGCUGAAGCGUGCCAGGCCUCCUGGAAAGAGGAUCCCGACGCGCAACGCAGGAAACUCAGCUUUCCGUGUUUUCUUCGUUGCUGAUGCGUUCGAUGCCUUUCAUCGUCAACGAGGGUUACCGGUGAUCGGGGCAUCGGAGAUAUUUGAGUGGACCCGGAGGAGGACUUAUCCUUUAGAGACCCCUGACGUAUCAAAGUUGAAGAGCAAGGUACCGCAACCUCAGAGCGUUGAGGUGUAAAGAGAUUCUGCUCCAAGAAAAUUUUAUUUUGCUUCAUAAGUAUUAUUUCUGAUACAAAGAACAAUGUCACACCCCUCACCCUCUGCGUCUCGAAUUCAGGUUCAGAAAUUGCAGAACGAGGAUCGUCGCACGCGUUAGCAGACGGUCGCUGUCGAGUCGUUUGACGGCGAGAG